UAGUAACGGCGAGUGAAGCGGGAAGAGCUCAAGCUUAAAAUCUCCGUGCAAGUUUUGUGCGGCGAAUUGUAGUCUAUAGAGGCGUGGUCAGCGUGGGCGCUUGGGGCAAGUUCCUUGGAAGAGGACAGCAUGGAGGGUGAUACUCCCGUUCAUCCCUGAGUUGCUCGUGCGUACGGCCCGUUUUCUUUGAGUCGCGUUGUUUGGGAAUGCAGCGCAAAGUAGGUGGUAAAUUCCAUCUAAAGCUAAAUAUUGGUGCGAGACCGAUAGCGAACAAGUACCGUGAGGGAAAGAUGAAAAGAACUUUGAAAAGAGAGUUAAAGAGUACCUGAAACUGCUGAAAGGGAACCGAAUCGUUUCCAGUGUCUAUAAUCCGUGGUAUAUUUCAUUGGCGAGUGUGUGCGUGCGUGUGCUAUGGCAGCGGCUUUUUUAGGCUGCGCUCGGCGUGUGUGCUGUGUGUGCUUGCUGGUGCCCUGUACUGCGGUGGGACGUCAAGGUCAGUUCGUAUGCUGCGGGAAAUGGCUGCCGAGGAGGUAGGGCUUACGCUUGCGUUUGUCUGUUAUAUCUUGGUGGACGAGUAGUCGCGGUUGGGACUGAGGUGCCUACAACGUGCUUUUGAGUGGGUUUGUGUCUCCGUGUGCGCCGUGUGCGGAUAGCUUGCUAUGCGUGUGUGGUUGUGUGUGGAUUGAUGCGGGCUUUAACUUGUUGCCGUUC
Molecule: ribosomal RNA, 711 nt
Filed under: Phytophthora cactorum
Lineage: Eukaryota; Oomycota; Peronosporomycetes; Peronosporales; Peronosporaceae
Also listed under: 1 other name
Description: eukaryotic LSU rRNA
Rfam family: Eukaryotic large subunit ribosomal RNA
Source: RNAcentral